UGCGGAUGCAGCAGGUAAACAAACCAGCCCGGCCCGCCAGGGGCUUUCCCUGAACAAGCGGCAGCCCUAGUUUGAGAACCACUGGCAUAGACCAUUUGUGAAACUCAGUCAUGUCAUAUUGAUACUUCACAUAUUUGAUAGGAUAUCAAAUUAGUACACUCUGCCACCGUCAUGUAAAUAACCUACUACUGCAAUUUGUCCCCAUUAGAUCAACAGGCAACUUGAUGCCUGACAGCUAUACAAAGCAAAGCAGAGCGUCAAAAAUGGUAGUCUAACAAUAUGAAAGGGAGGGAAAGAAUUGGAUGCGGAAGGAUAAGGAAGAACCAGCAGAUGAGCCAAUGGGAAGCAGAUUGUGUGAACACAGAAGGAAGAUUGGCAAGUACAUGGUAAACCAUGGCAGUGUGAGGAAGUGCCUUUUUAAAAAAGAAAAAUUGUCCUUGUCUGAGAGAGAGAGAGAGAGAGAGAGAGAGAGAGACUGGCAAGGUAAAGGAGAAGAGGUCAUGGAGACAACUGCACCACAGUUUACAUGGAAGUAGAGAAUGAGAAGACAGAAACAGCAGCCAAGUCCCCGCAAAUUAAAAUUCAUCUUCAAGGCCUCCUCAAACCAAAAAGUUGCAAGGAACAGCCCAAGACAAAAGUAGAAUUCUGUAAGCCUAAAAGACACUGGUAACAUCCACAAGACAACAGGAAGAAAGGAUAGCAAUGCUGCUCUUAUCGCUAAGAUUUUAAGAGCGUUUGCACUAGUUACAGCCCUCUUAAACCCUUGCCAUUGUCCACCUAAGAAUCCCAAACUGGUUCUCUCCAGACAGGAGUCUGUGAUAAGAAAGAAAGGGGAGGCUUGAAACAGAUUUGAUAAGUCUAAAGCAUGUCAUUGCCUAAGGAACAGCAUCCUCAGUUCUGUCUAUUCGGAGGCUUACGAUAUACAUUAAGAAUAGCUUGUCACCGGCUAUUUGAAAGAAUCAUGCUUAUUACAUUCUCUCCUGGAAGAAAUCAUAUUCCAGCUACAGCAUCAGAGUAACUCCAAUUAUGCUGAUGUUUUGGGGUCCAGAUGGUGUGGCUAAGAUGACAGUCAUUUUACCUUUAUAAUACACUGUGCAGUGAAUGACAGUGUAAAUUACAAAGACAAAAUGACUCAUCUACACCAUCCCAAGAGGCCACCUGUUACAAAACAGUGGUAAAUGUAAAGAUGUGGAGGUUGAGAGAAAGAUUGAGCCCAUGUAUUAGAAGUCUGCCAUGGCUUCUUUUGCUUGUGUAUUAAUUUUUCAUGUUAACCUCAAAUUCUAUUAAGCUAGUUGUGUUUACACUCGUUUCACAUGGUACCAAAAAUAACCCAAGGCAAUUACCUUUGUUUACAGGAGCUAAUGAAAAAAGAGUUUUCAAUGUCCGUUUUGCCUGGCUUCAAAGCUUCUUUGCAAUUGAACACCACCUCCAACAAGUGCCAAGUUGUGCUUUUUAGUUUGGUUUACAUUACACAGGGAUGAAUCUAUUGUCUCCAUCCUAUGGGAUAAAAGAGUAAUCUUUACCCAACAGAAAAGAGGAGCAUUUUAUUCUUAGUCUAUCAAUGUUGAUUCUCAAAAAAAAAAAUAAAAAAGUAAGUAGGUAAAGAGGGCCCA
This is a long non-coding RNA of Chrysemys picta bellii (western painted turtle), 1613 nucleotides long. NCBI's taxonomy places the organism in Eukaryota, Metazoa, Chordata, Testudines, Emydidae. The record is from Ensembl.